This 455-nucleotide ribosomal RNA is filed under the name uncultured bacterium. RNAcentral's name for it is "SSU rRNA". It matches the Rfam family "Bacterial small subunit ribosomal RNA", at positions 26 to 518 of the family's 1533-position model. The record is from RNAcentral.
AGAAUCAACGCUGGCGGCGUGCCUAACACAUGCAAGUCGCACGAGAAAGGGGAGCAAUCCCUGAGUACAGUGGCGCACGGGUGAGUAACACGUGAAUAAUCUACCUCCGAGUGGGGAAUAACUGAGAGAAAUCUUAGCUAAUACCGCAUAAUACCCACGGGUCAAAGCAGUAAUGCGCUUGGAGAGGAGUUCGCGGCAGAUUAGUUAGUUGGCGGGGUAAUGGCCCACCAAGACGAUGAUCUGUAUCCGGCCUGAGAGGGCGCACGGACACACUGGAACUGAAACACGGUCCAGACUCCUACGGAGGCAGCAGUGGGGAAUUUUGCGCAAUGGGGAAACCCUGACGCAGCAACGCCGCGUGGAGGAUGAAGCCCCUUGGGUGUAAACUCCUUUCGAUCGGGAAGAUAAUGACGGUACCGAUAUAAGAGCCCGGCUAACUUCGCGCCAGCAGCCGC